AGUCGAUGAUUAAGCACCUUCGGGUGUGUAUAGAGUGGCGAACGGGUGAGUAACACGUGACCAACCUGCCUCUUACAUUGGGACAACCAAAAGAAAUUCUGGCUAAUACCAAAUACUCCGCACAUAUCACAUGAUGUAUGCGGGAAAGCUUUUGCGGUAAGAGAUGGGGUCGCGGCCCAUUAGGUAGACGGCGGGGUAGAAGCCCACCGUGCCGAUGAUGGGUAGCCGGGUUGAGAGACCGACCGGCCACAUUGGGACUGAGAUGCGGCCCAGACUCCUACGGGAGGCAGCAGUGGGGAAUAUUGCGCAAUGGGGGAAACCCUGACGCAGCAACGCCGCGUGCGGGAUGAAGGCCUUCGGGUUGUAAACCGCUUUCAGCAGGGAAGACAUCGACGGUACCUGCAGAAGAAGCCCCGGCUAACUACGUGCCAGCAGCCGCGGUAAUACGUAGGGGGCGAGCGGUAUCCGGAUUCAUUGGGCGUAAAGCGCGCGCAGGCGGUUGCUCAAGCGGAACCUCUAAUCUCGGGGCUUAACCUCGAGCCGGGUUCCGAACUGGACGACUCGAGUGCGGUAGAGGCAGAUGGAAUUCCCGGUGUAGCGGUGGAAUGCGCAGAUAUCGGGAAGAACACCAACGGCGAAGGCAGUCUGCUGGGCCGUCACUGACGCUGAGGCGCGAAAGCUGGGGGAGCGAACAGGAUUAGAUACCCUGGUAGUCCCAGCCGUAAACGAUGAGCGCUGGGUGUGGGAGAUUACAUCUUCCGUGCCGAAGCUAACGCAUUAAGCGCUCCGCCUGGGGAGUACGGC
RNAcentral lists this ribosomal RNA (804 nucleotides) under uncultured bacterium. RNAcentral's name for it is "bacterial SSU rRNA". It matches the Rfam family "Bacterial small subunit ribosomal RNA", at positions 60 to 886 of the family's 1533-position model. The record is from RNAcentral.